CUACGGGAUGCUCCAGUGAGGAAUAUUGCACAAUGGGGGGAACCCUGAUGCAGCAACGCCGCGUGGAGGAUGACGCAUUUCGGUGUGUAAACUCCUUUUAUAUGUCAAGAAAAUGACGGUAGCAUAUGAAUAAGCACCGGCUAACUCCGUGCCAGCAGCCGCGGUAAUACGGAGGGUGCAAGCGUUACCCGGAAUCACUGGGCGUAAAGGACGCGUAGGCGGGUUGGAAAGUCAGGUGUGAAAUCCUACAGCUUAACUGUAGAACUGCACUUGAAACUUCUAAUCUAGAGUAUGGGAGGGGGAGAUGGAAUUAGUGGUGUAGGGGUAAAAUCCGUAGAUAUCACUAGGAGUACCUAAAGCGAAGGCGAUCUCCUGGAACAUUACUGACGCUAAGGCGUGAAAGCGUGGGGAGCAAACAGGAUUAGAUACCCUCGUAGUC
RNAcentral lists this ribosomal RNA (439 nucleotides) under uncultured bacterium. RNAcentral describes it as "partial 16S ribosomal RNA". It matches the Rfam family "Bacterial small subunit ribosomal RNA", at positions 339 to 795 of the family's 1533-position model. The record is from RNAcentral.